GAUGAAGAACGUAGCGAAAUGCGAUAAGUAAUGUGAAUUGCAGAAUUCAGUGAAUCAUCGAAUCUUUGAACGCACCUUGCACCCUUUGGCAUUCUGAAGGGUAUGCUCGUUUGAGUGUCAUUGUACUCUCACACUCCCGAUCUUUGCAUUGGGAGCAGUGGACUUGGGUUUGCUGCUUCACCGUCGCUUACCUCAAAUAGGUUAGUGCAACUCUUGGUUGGACAUAGUACGGCGUGAUAAGUGUUCUUCGCCGGUGCCUCGCAAAGAGGGUGGCCGAUCGGGAUGUUGUGCUCCAAACCGUCUUCGGACAAUCUCUGACGACUUGACCUCAAAUCGAGUAAGACUACCCGCUGAACUUAAGCAUAUCAAUAACGGAGGA
Molecule: unclassified non-coding RNA, 379 nt
Filed under: soil metagenome
Description: partial contains 5.8S ribosomal RNA, internal transcribed spacer 2, and large subunit ribosomal RNA
Rfam family: 5.8S ribosomal RNA (bases 1-120)
Source: RNAcentral